CGAGCCGGCCGGGUGAUCGCGGCAGUUAACGGAACCGGACGCCUCUUUUACAGAGUGUGUCCAGGCCGCUGUCGAGGAAAGUCCGGACUCCACUGGGCAUGGUGGUUGCUAACAGCAACCCAGGGUGACCUGCGGGAUUGCUAACAGCAACCCAGGGUGACCUGCGGGAAUAGUGCCACAGAAAAUAGACCGCCGGGCGCACAGCCGAUGUCUUUGACGUAAAGCUGUGGAGAUCCGGUGAGGGUGAAAAGGUGCGGUAAGAGCGCACCAGCGGGGCAAGUGAUUGCACCGGCUAGGUAAACCCCACCAGGAGCAAGGCAAAAUCGCGCAUGCUUCGUCGUGCGCGUGCGCGAGUGUUUGAGGGCUGCCCGUCCGAUACUCGCGGGUGUGCUGCUUCAGGCUGUCAGCAAUGGCAGACCGAGAUGGAUGAUCGCCACCCGGCGCUUUCCGAAAGGAGCGCCGAGGGACAGAAUCCGGCUCAUAGGCCGACUCGUUCA
This 497-nucleotide RNase P RNA is filed under the name Corynebacterium sp. HMSC065H09. Its description in RNAcentral is "RNase P RNA component class A". It matches the Rfam family "Bacterial RNase P class A". From Rfam's summary of the family: Ribonuclease P (RNase P) is a ubiquitous endoribonuclease, found in archaea, bacteria and eukarya as well as chloroplasts and mitochondria. Its best characterised activity is the generation of mature 5'-ends of tRNAs by cleaving the 5'-leader elements of precursor-tRNAs. Cellular RNase Ps are ribonucleoproteins. Lineage: Bacteria; Bacillati; Actinomycetota; Actinomycetes; Mycobacteriales; Corynebacteriaceae. The record is from RNAcentral.